AGAACGACUCUCGGCAACGGAUAUCUCGGCUCUCGCAUCGAUGAAGAACGCAGCGAAAUGCGAUACUUGGUGUGAAUUGCAGAAUCCCGUGAACCAUCGAGUCUUUGAACGCAAGUUGCGCCCGAAGCCUUCUGGCCGAGGGCACGUCUGUCUGGGCGUCA
Molecule: ribosomal RNA, 161 nt
Filed under: Rheum tanguticum
Lineage: Eukaryota; Viridiplantae; Streptophyta; Magnoliopsida; Caryophyllales; Polygonaceae
Description: 5.8S ribosomal RNA
Rfam family: 5.8S ribosomal RNA
About the family: 5.8S ribosomal RNA (5.8S rRNA) is a component of the large subunit of the eukaryotic ribosome. It is transcribed by RNA polymerase I as part of the 45S precursor that also contains 18S and 28S rRNA.
Source: RNAcentral